GAUACCCCACGAUCAACCCAACCCUAUCUAGCCUACAGUCUAUAUACCGCCGUCGCCAGCCUACCUUAUGAAAGAAACAAAGUGAGCUAAAUAGUCAUACACUAACACGACAGGUCGAGGUGUAACUUAUGAUAGGGCCUAAGAUGGGCUACAUUUUCUAACACAGAAAACACGAAUUAAACUAUGAAAUAAGGAACUGAAGGCGGAUUUAGCAGUAUACUAAGAACAAGACACCUAGUCGAAACAAACGCAAUGAGGUGCGUACACACCGCCCGUCAUCCCUGCCAACCAAACAAACCAUAAAUAAAAACACAUUAAAUCCUAAAACAGGGCAAGUCGUAACAAGGUAAGCG
Molecule: ribosomal RNA, 353 nt
Filed under: Ptyas mucosa (Dhaman)
Lineage: Eukaryota; Metazoa; Chordata; Lepidosauria; Squamata; Colubridae
Description: partial 12S ribosomal RNA
Source: RNAcentral